CAACUGUUUUACAGUUCGAUUGGAACUGGGGAGGAGUUUAAAAGAAUCACAGUAAGCCCUCUGGUCUUUUCCAGGAGGAUAAUCAACAACAUUGACUGAUUAUGUUUGUAUGGCUUGUUGGAUAAAAAGGAAUGAACAGGAGCUCACCAGCCAUCAGAGAAUUGCAGCUAACCCUAGCAUUUUCCUUCUGAAGUGCCUUGCUCCCUGUUUGCCUUUCACCAUGAUUGGAAGUUUCCUCCAGCCUCCGCAGAAGCAGAAGCCACAAUGCUUCCUGUACAGCCUGCAGAACUGUGAGCCAAUUAAACCUCUUUUCUUUAUAAAUUACCCAGUCUCAGGUAUUUCUUUAUAACAGUGCAAGAAAGAACUAAUAUAAUAUUGUACUAUUUGAAAAGUGAUUUCAGAGCUUGAAAGAAGUGUGCUUGAGCCUGUAAAAUUAGGCACUAGACUUAACUACAUUUCUUUGAGUACCUAAUGGUGCAGAAAAUGGUCACGAGAACUGGGGAGAAAUUAUCAAAAUUUUCUUUAUUGUACAUAUAUAUGCACAACA
Molecule: long non-coding RNA, 547 nt
Organism: Pan troglodytes (chimpanzee)
Lineage: Eukaryota; Metazoa; Chordata; Mammalia; Primates; Hominidae
Exons: 3
Source: RefSeq, a predicted model, not a curated record